CAGAGGUUUGUCAAUGAUCCCAUGGCAAAAUCCAAACUCUUAAUAGUUGAUCAAAGUUAGCAUGUUCGUAAAAGGUUUAUAAGGUUUUGGCUUAUCUAUUUACCUCUCCAUCUUCAUUUCUUGCUCUUCUCCCCACAUGUUCACUAGCACCCAAACUCACUCAGUUUAUGGCCUAGCCCAGUAAAACUUUCUCAUUUCCUGUCAUGCACCAGAUCAAGAUUUCCUUCAGAUUUUUACACACGAACUCCCCACUCAACCUAACAAAUGAACACACUCCCACAUGCAUCUGAUCUCUUAACUCCAAUCGUCCUUCAGAGAUCUUGGCUCUCAUGACAUUUUGAAAAGUGAUUCAUCUGAGAAUGUGUUAGAUCCCCCUUGUAGGGGUUUCUAUAAACUCCUUGAACUUCCAUGUCAAACACUUGUCAAAAUUUAUUGUUAUGCCAGUUUAGGCGUCGUUUCCCUAAGUGGAUUUUGAGGUUCCGGAGAACAGGGACCCUGACACCUGUAUUCUCAGUGAUUAACAUGGUGUCAGCAGUAAUAAGCAGUGUUUUAGCUUUUGUGUACUUUUCAAAGCACUGACUGUACAUUAAGUGAUUAAUCCCAACAAAUAACUCAAAGAGGUAGUUUUACUCUCUAAUUUACAGAUGAAAAGAGCAAGGCACAGAGAUUAAGCAAAUUGCCCAAGGUCGGUUUGAAACUAGCCUGAGUGCCCUGCUCCAGAGUACUUGCUCCAAACCAACAUAUUAUACCUGCCCCUGGAACUAGGUAAAUGUUAAGAGUACAAUACAGAUCUUCUAAAUGACUGCACAAAGGAUAGGGUACCUCAGUGGGUGGCAGUUAUGGAAGACAGCCUCUCAAGAGAGGCUGAAAAGACCCCUGUGCCAGCAGGCAGUGGCUCUGUACCCACUGAAAACACAGACUGCCGCACAAGGGUGACCAUGGAUACCUGAUUUUUCUCCAUGAUCAUCACAACUAGCUGAGUGUGCCAUGUUCUUUCCAGGAAGAACCGCUCACAUUGCUAGCAGAGUAUUCUUAUUCUCUUCCUGGCAUGGUAUACUUAUCUAAAAGUAACAAGGCCAUCAUUCUAAAUCAGAAAAAAAAAUGCAUUGUUUACAAACCUUAAAAAUAAUGAAAGGGAUAAAUAAGGAUGAGACAUGGAAAGGGAAUUUUUCCUCUCAGAAAAUUAAAAACAAAUCAUUGCAUGCUCUUAUCUGAAUAAACAGUCUGCGAUUUAUGUGUUAUAGUUUUAUGAGUAGCCUGCUUGCUAAUUCUUAAUACCUUAUCAGUCUUUUAUCCUAUUCAGUGUUGUAUGUGAAGCUCAUUUACCCAGAAGAGCUUUGUCCAAAGAAGGUAGAAAAAUUUUCUUGAAAUGUUUGGCAGACCACAAGUACAGAACAUUUGAAAGAAAAUGUCAUGUUGUGCCCACCUGGGUAUAUUUUUAUAUAUCUUUUUUCCUUCUGAGCCAACCAGUGUGGACUCCACCUGUCUUCAAUAUCUGUUUGAAGAGACUAAAACAGGUUAGAUACCACUAGAUCUCUGUGCUAUCAGACAAUCUAGGGAAUUGCUUGAGAAAGGCAAACCUGAGUGUUUGCUGAAAGGUAUUCACUAGAGGAUAGAUGGGUGUUUUCAGAAAACAGACUAAUCUCAAUAGCCUGUCUCUCUCCUGUAAAAAUCAUCCAUUGCAGGUUACUUAAGGAAGGUAAUAAGUUUUAUAUAAGGGGGGAUUUUGUUUUAGAUCUUAGAAUAAUUUAAUGGGAGGUAGAACUUUCACGCUCUUGUAAGUUCACUGAUAGACGGUGUGAACGGUCCAUACAGGCAAUUGAUUUAGUGACCCAGUAUACUAAAACUAUGCAGCUUAGAAGAGAGUCUCUGGAAUGGAAAGAUCAUCAUUUCCACAAACAAGCAUAUAGCUACUUUUCUGACUUAGGCUGUCUUAAAGAUUUCAUUUUUUAAUUUAUUUUAAACUUCACUUUCUUUUCAUGCUAUUGGGAACAUCAGUAUGAUUCAUAAGGGCUUGAUGCUGUAGCUAGGGUGAGGCUAUGGAAUAGUACAUUGUUUUGUCAAAUCAAUUAGGCAUUGAUUAAUGACUUAUUGAAUUCAUAAACAUUCCAAGUUUUAUUUAAAUUUUAGGGGAAGUGGUGGUAUAUGUGUGCACAGGACACUUCUAAGAAGUACCUCUUCUGCUCUCUAGAAACCUAGACAUCAGACUGUGGUACUGAAAAUAGGCUGAUGAAAAAUGACUCUUUCCUGGACUAUGGUGGUAAUCUCAUUAGUCUCCCCACAUCCACUUUUUCUCACACUCAAUCUGGCCCCAGAGAAACUGAAGUGAUCAGCCUGUAACACAAAUAAGAUUGACGUUCCACCAUUUAAAUCUCCUUAAUGACUUCAAUUUUAUUAGUGGAUAAAUCCAAAUUCUUUAUUAUGGAAUGAAGUGAAGAUCAUUGUUGUCAACUGACAUAGCUUCUUAUGCGUAUCCUCAUAUAACCAAAACAUAAACCACACUGGACUAUUGCCAGAAAACAUCUUAGACUUUUAAAUUUCAUGAUUUUGAACAUUCUUUUAUCAUUGCCUGGAAUGACCCUGCCACAGAUUCCAUGAAGUCUUGACCAUAGUUGAAGCCUGGGGAAGCUCGCAGUCUACUGUGAAACAUAGAUGGCCAAAAUAGACAGCAGAAUGGUAAAGAGAAUUGGAAAUACUGCUGUAAUGAACCUCUAGUAAUGUUGGAUUGGAUAUAACAGAAUUCUUCAUGUACAUAGUUGAGUUCAUAGUUUCUGGGGUGAGAAAUGAAGAGAAACCUGAAAACCAUAACACAAGUACAUGAUUUAAUGCCGAACAUACUUUCAAAUAAAUAAAGAAUGAGAGUUCACCAGUCAUAGAAAUGUGGUGGAGUUACUAUUAAUGGAACUACUUCAUAAUUAUAGGAAUUGAACUCAGGAGGAAUGAGAUGUAAAAAGCAGUGGUGACAAAGAAAAUGGUAAAUACAUGAGUAAUUUAAGCAUGGACAGCAUAAAACGAUAAUUGUGGCUAAUUCCAGAGGGGUAUAAAACCAAGUGGAAUUAAAAUACUUGACAUCUAAGAAUGUAAGAAAAUGAUCUCUGUCAGUGUUCUAAAGUUUUUGAAUUAUCCAAAAGAGAGUAGAGAUACUGCCAAAAUUUAGAUUUUAAGUCAGUUAUUUAAAAUCUUAAGGCUAACAACUUAAAACAACAGAAAUAAAAUGUGUGUUUUUUAUAACAAGAGAAAAGUAAAAUGUAAACGGAGUGGAUUAGUAAAUAGAAGGCUGGAGAAGAGAGAAAAGUAAACUGAAACAAAGAAGAUAUAUAGAAAAGAAAAACAAAAUGAUACAAAUAAAUUCUAAGUUAUCUGUAAUCACAAUAAUUAUAAAUGUAUAUAAUUGUUAUAUAAAAUCAAGGUUCUGGAGUGCCCUGGGGGUUCAGUGGGUAAGAAUCCAUCAUUAUCACGGCUGUGGCUCAGAUCACUGCUGCGACAAGGGUUUGAUCCCUGGCCCCAGAACUUCCACAUGCCGUGGGCAUGACCAAGAAAAAGAGAAUAAAAUAAAAAAUGAAAUAAAGUUUAUUAUUGAAUGAAAUUUUUAAAAAAAUCACCGUUCUUAUAUCCUAUAUAAAAACAUUUAGCCAUAUGUUAUUUAUAAGAAGUAUGCCUAAAAUGCAAUGACCUAGAGAGGCUAAAGGUAAAGGAAUGGAAGGAAGUACAUUGGGAUUAAUAUGCCAUGGAUAUAUCAAUAUCAAAUGAAAUAAACAUUAAGGAUAAGAUAAUACUAAAAAUAUACAUGAAAGAUAUGUAUUAUUGCUGAUUUAUAAUCACCUAACACAUAGAAGCAAAACACAUAACAUCAAAAAUAUUAGAACUUGUACAAAGAAAAAUCACAAAUCUAUGAUCAUGGUAGAAUAUGUUCAUACUUAUCUCUCAGAAACUAAUGGAUCAAGCAGUAAAAGUGUUAAGACUGUAGGAUAUUUGUAUAGCAAAAUUAGCAGGCUUUAUCUAAUAGACAUAUAGAAUCUCACAGCCAGCUGUUAGAGAAUAAAUUUAUUUUUUCAGACUAGAAAUGGACAUUUAUAAAAGGUAGAUACAUCUUUCUCUGAUAGCACUUAAGAUCUCUUAGCAAAUUUCAAGCAUACAGUGCAGUGCUAGUAACUGUAAUCACCAUGCAGUACGUUAAAUCCCCAGAACUUAUUUAUCCUGCAUAACUGAAACUUUAUAUUCUUUGACCAACAUUUCCCCAUUUUCCCCUCCUCCCAGCUCCUGCAACCACCAUUCCACUCUCUGCUUCUAUGACUUUAACUAAUUUAGAUUUGACAUCUAAGUGAGAACACGCAGUAUUGGAUGAUUUUACCUAGUAUGAUGUUCUCCAGCUUCAUCCAUGUUAAAAAAACAAAAACAGUAACUUUGUGAGACUGUGGAUAUGUUAAUUGGCCUGAUUGUGGUGAUUAUUUCACAGUGUAUACAUAUACCUUAAAUGUAUACAGUGUUUAUUUGUCAAUUAUACUUCAACAAAAAUGGAAAAAUAUAUAUUUUGUAAAAAUAAAUAAUGAUAUUCUGUUAAAAAAAUAUGGACCAUGGUUUAGCCCAGUAAAUGUAAAUGUUAACAAAUAUC
Molecule: long non-coding RNA, 4612 nt
Filed under: Sus scrofa (pig)
Lineage: Eukaryota; Metazoa; Chordata; Mammalia; Artiodactyla; Suidae
Description: lncRNA (ENSSSCG00000052736.1)
Source: RNAcentral